RNAcentral lists this small nuclear RNA (164 nucleotides) under Psalidodon paranae. RNAcentral's name for it is "Astyanax paranae U1-II". It matches the Rfam family "U1 spliceosomal RNA". From Rfam's summary of the family: U1 is a small nuclear RNA (snRNA) component of the spliceosome (involved in pre-mRNA splicing). Its 5' end forms complementary base pairs with the 5' splice junction, thus defining the 5' donor site of an intron. There are significant differences in sequence and secondary structure between metazoan and yeast U1 snRNAs, the latter being much longer (568 nucleotides as compared to 164 nucleotides in human). Lineage: Eukaryota; Metazoa; Chordata; Actinopteri; Characiformes; Acestrorhamphidae. The record is from RNAcentral.
AUACUUACCUGGCAGGGGUGAUACCAUGAUCAGAAAGGUGGUUUGCCCAGGGCGAGGCUCAGCCAUUGCACUUGGGCUGUGCUGACCUUUGCGAAUUCCCCAAAUGCGGGAAUCUCGACUGCAUAAUUUCUGGUAGUGGGGGACUGCGUGCGCGCUCUCCCCUG